UCCAUUUUUUCCUUCACAAUAAAAUAUACUUAUGUAUAAAAUUUUAGCUAAGCAAGUCUAUAGCCUUUAAUUGAGUUGUUAUCUUUCAAACUUGGUAUUUAUCGUGAUGCACUAUAUAUUUACUUAUUUAGUAAGAAAUAUAUAUCUAUAUAACGUUCGUACCCAUGGUAAAAGAGCUGAACAUGUUGGACAAAGCGUCAGAGAGUUCGUCGUAGCUCUUAUACAUCUUCAAGUCGAUUUUCCUCAAGUACGGUGCUCCGUCCAUCGACACCUUCACAAACGCCGCCGUGUCCGCGCUACUGCUUGAUUUUUGGCAUGAACCCAUCACGUUCUUCCGGUAUGAUCUCACCGGUGGCCAUCCCACAACUUGUGCCCUAUACAAUUAUACAUAUAGAAAAUGGAAAAUGUUUAUGUUUUAAUAUAUGUUACAUAUAUAAGCUGUAGAAAGCUAUCAGCAAAUCAGUUUUUACUGGUGUUUCAAAUAUAUCCUAUUUUCAUGAGACUGUGGUCUAAUAGGUGGUCGAAUUAUACCUUUUGUUUCCCGCGGAUUUUCAACAAGUUAAGGAAACAUAACCCGUAUAGACACAUAUCACUUCUUUCUUUUUUUAAACUAUCUUAAGUGACUACAUUUUUGGAAAGUUUAUUCUUCUUUUUUUGCUCAUACCUUUAUCUAUUUAGUUAGAUUUUUACUAACACAACAUAUUAUAUUUUUUCAGGUGAAAACAUUAACCGGUAUCGCUAGAAAUAAUAACUUGGAGGAAAUACUAGUGUUUUUGUAAAGAUUUAUUUCUUGUUCAAAAAAAAAAGAUAAGAACAAGAAAAUUAGGCGAAGAUUGCAAAAUAAAUAGAAAAGGGGAUAAUGGUAAUAUU
This 870-nucleotide long non-coding RNA is filed under the name Brassica rapa (field mustard). RNAcentral's name for it is "long non-coding RNA (BRAP_LNC006208)". Lineage: Eukaryota; Viridiplantae; Streptophyta; Magnoliopsida; Brassicales; Brassicaceae. The record is from RNAcentral.